GUGUGUGGCUCUGUGACAGGGUCCAACAGGGCCUGGUCUGUGUCCGGCCCCCCAAAUCUGUCGUCCCUGCCCCCAGGUGCUUCCUCAUUCUCUUUUAAAACCCACUUCCCGCUGAGUCUGCACCCAGGAGACCAGAGAGCACCUUGCCCUUCCAUGGAAACUCAGGCCGAUCUCGUAUCUCAGGAACCUCAGGCCCUGCUUGACAGUGCUCUUCCUUCAAAAGUUCCUGCCUUUUCCGACAAGGACAGCCUGGGGGAUGAGAUGUUGGCGGCUGCACUCCUAAAGGCCAAGUCCCAGGUGAGCUGUGGUUCCCUUCAUCCUUUUCAAUUUUCUGUGCAAUGACAUCCCAUUCAGAGCUUUAAACCCUGAUCUCCUCCAUCAGGCCCAUGGUUCUGUCCUGCCGAAUCAUGGACCCUCACCUUCCAUCUUGGACUCCUGUCUCUCUUCCUCCACCCUGUCCUCCUUUCCUCCCUUCCCAAAUGUGCAUUUUUCACCCCAUCCUCAGUGAUUUUUUUGG
RNAcentral lists this small RNA (517 nucleotides) under Pongo abelii (Sumatran orangutan). RNAcentral's name for it is "retained intron". The record is from RNAcentral. Lineage: Eukaryota; Metazoa; Chordata; Mammalia; Primates; Hominidae.